GGCAGGGGCGGCUGCAGCAGCCGCCGAAAGCAGAGGCUCUAGGGGGUGGGGAUCAGAUUGCACCAUUUCUGUCUCAUCUGGCAGCAGAAGCACCGAGUCACAGGAGGAUGAGGAGGUAGUCCAGAGGCUGCUGGGCUAUGUCACUCUGAAGUGGUAUGCUGAAUUGUAUAACUGCACACAGACAAGAAGGAAAUCAGAGUUUACCUGCACUGAAAAGCAGUCCCAGCUCUCCAAUGCCAACACAAUCUGACACAUGCUAAAAACUGCCUGAAGCACUGACACAGGAGGCAGCGGCUGUGCUGUGCUACAGCAUCCUAGGAGGAACAGGAAGAUGCUUUUCGCCUGCUAAAGGCACCAGUUCCUGACCCACAGAGUAAUAAAAAAUAAAGAGGAUCAUACUUCCAGAUGAAUGCCAUUUACAUACACACAAACGCUACGUUCCACUAAGGUUCUCUGGUUAACUUUUCAGGCCUUGAGAAGUAUCUGCCAGAUAGAUUUGUAAAGGGAGACAGUAUCUUCC
This is a long non-coding RNA of Heterocephalus glaber (naked mole-rat), 520 nucleotides long. RefSeq lists it as uncharacterized. The record is from RefSeq and is a predicted model, not a curated record. NCBI's taxonomy places the organism in Eukaryota, Metazoa, Chordata, Mammalia, Rodentia, Bathyergidae.